Molecule: ribosomal RNA, 465 nt
Filed under: uncultured bacterium
Lineage: Bacteria
Description: partial 16S ribosomal RNA
Rfam family: Bacterial small subunit ribosomal RNA
Source: RNAcentral
GACGAACGCUGGCGGCGUGCUUAACACAUGCAAGUCGAACGGAAAGGCCCCUUUGGGGGUACUCGAGUGGCGAACGGGUGAGUAACACGUGAGUAACCUGCCCGUGACUUCGGGAGAACUUCAGGAAACUGGGGCUAAUACCGGAUAGGAAUCCUUGCUGCAUGGUGGGGGUUGGAAAGCUUCGGCGGUUUUGGAUGGACUCGCGGCUGAUCAGCUUGUUGGUGGGGUAGUGGCUUACCAAGGCUUUGACGGGUAGGCGGCCUGAGAGGGCGACCGGCCACAUUGGGACUGAGAUACGGCCCAGACUCCUACGGGAGGCAGCAGUGGGGAAUAUUGCACAAUGGGCGGAAGCCUGAUGCAGCAACGCCGCGUGCGGGAUGACGGCCUUCGGGUUGUAAACCGCUUUCAGCAGGGGCGGAGCUUGUGGUGACGGUACCUGCAGAAGAAGCACCGGCUAACUACGUG